RNAcentral lists this transfer RNA (72 nucleotides) under Stegodyphus mimosarum. It matches the Rfam family "tRNA". From Rfam's summary of the family: Transfer RNA (tRNA) molecules are approximately 80 nucleotides in length. Their secondary structure includes four short double-helical elements and three loops (D, anti-codon, and T loops). Further hydrogen bonds mediate the characteristic L-shaped molecular structure. tRNAs have two regions of fundamental functional importance: the anti-codon, which is responsible for specific mRNA codon recognition, and the 3' end, to which the tRNAs corresponding amino acid is attached (by aminoacyl-tRNA synthetases). tRNAs cope with the degeneracy of the genetic code in two manners: having more than one tRNA (with a specific anti-codon) for a particular amino acid; and 'wobble' base-pairing, i.e. permitting non-standard base-pairing at the 3rd anti-codon position. The record is from Rfam by way of RNAcentral. Lineage: Eukaryota; Metazoa; Arthropoda; Arachnida; Araneae; Eresidae.
GCCUUUGUGGUGUAAUGGUUAGCACACUCGGCGCGUAUUCGAGAGGUCCAGGUUCGAGUCCCGGCGAGGGAA